UGGCUUUCAGGAUAUUAGUGAUAGAAGUCAUGUAGUUUUAAGUGAUUUCACAUUAUAUGUGCCACCUUGUGACCAUGUGAACAAGCCAAGCCUGGCCUCCCCAACUAUGACCGACCACAGAAUAAACAUUCCAGUUAUCUUCACAAUCUCAGUUAUUCCAGCAGAGCCCCUGAACAACCAGUAUGCCAACCACAUGCUUAUCAGUGAGGCCAUAUUCAUGACCCUUCUGUCCCAGUUGAGCCACCAGCUCACCACCAUAACAAGCUAAGCUAGCCCAAAUAAGCUGACUCUUCCAAAGAACUAACCUAAACAUGACAAAUAAUCUUUGUUAUUUAGAGCCACUUAGUUUUAUGAAGUUCAUUAUGCAGUAAAAGGGUAACUGAUGCAAAACAAAAGGAAAUCCAGAUUCUAAGAAACACUCACAUUUGGUUGCUAGAAAUAGAUAGAUAUCACCCUUUGGGUCUUCUGCACCAACUAUAUAUUUUAAAGAAAAUGUCAUGCUGAAUAUUGCAGAUGUCAUCAGCAAAAUGUAUAAACUGCACCUCCUAUCCUCUUUUCUAUUUGUCAAGUGGACCUGAUGGGUCUUGCUGAACUUCUGUACCCAGCUAAUGCUGUGGACAGUGAAGGCAUGAAGGUGUUCAGCUUACCUCAGAGACAAGCAUGUAAAAUCUGUUCCAGAAACAGUUGCUAAUAGAACUUGUGUGGGGGUCUGUGGAUAAUGAUGUAUUACUAGGGAUUAUUAUAAAAAUCUUAGCUGUACACAUUAUGAUACUGACUUCAGGCCUCUGGAACUGAAUCAGGGGAUGACUCCUGUGCAGGAUGCAGGACCACACGAAAAGGAGCAGGUGCUCUCUGUGCAUUAUAAAGAAUGAAGUCAAGACUACAUUUUUUUUGCCUUUGGAAUAUCUGCUGAGCAGCCCUGUCUCCUCUCUCCAGAACAUGACUCUCAUUUAGAUGGGCAACUGAAAGCAGAAAUCUGGUUUUCCAGAGCUUUUGAUGACAGUAUCAAAAUGAUCAUCUAUAGUGUUUUGGAAACUCUCAUAAACAUCACCCAUAAAUGAAACACGGUAUUUCAUGAAUAACAUUUCACUGCCACAUAAUUGAAACUCCUCAAUCAUUGGGCAACAUUUUAAGCAUUUUCUCCAUGCACUGUUGACUACAAGAUGGACCAGUAAGAUGAUUAAUCAUUUGUGAAAAUGCACAUUAAAAAAUUGUUACAAUUGGUAACAGUAGAAUCACCAAUUUUAAUUUUUAAACUCUGUUAUUGAUUUUAUAAUUUCUCCUCCAAAUGAUAUUGAUGGUGCUAUAUCUAAAUUCUGUGAAUAAAAUUUUAUAGGAGCACAGCCACACUCAUAUGUUCACGCAUUGCCUAUGACUAUUUUGAUCCUUCAUUGGCAGAGCUGAGUAGCUGCAAUAGAAAC
Molecule: long non-coding RNA, 1421 nt
Filed under: Marmota monax (woodchuck)
Lineage: Eukaryota; Metazoa; Chordata; Mammalia; Rodentia; Sciuridae
Source: RNAcentral